Dermacentor albipictus is the source of this 1748-nucleotide non-coding RNA. The record is from RefSeq and is a predicted model, not a curated record. NCBI's taxonomy places the organism in Eukaryota, Metazoa, Arthropoda, Arachnida, Ixodida, Ixodidae.
GGUCCUCAAGUGUACACAGCGUGCCCCUGCACUACUCUAUGGUCAGCGCUACAAAAGACUACUUCGGCCACAAGCAUCAGCUGUUCCAGGAGCGACCACUACUGCUUCUACAUUGGCUCACCAGUGGCGUCCUGCUGGUAGACUGGACUUGUCUCCUCGCCCUGCAUUACUACUGGUUCUGCAUUCCUGUUUUCAACUGUGGUCCUCAAGUGUACACAGCGUGCCCCUGCACUACUCUAUGGUCAGCGCUACAAAAGAUUACUUCGGCCACAAGCAUCAGCUGUUCCAGGAGCGACCACUACUGCUUCUACAUUGGCUCACCAGUGGCGUCCUGCUGGUAGACUGGACUUGUCUCCUCGCCCUGCAUUACUACUGGUUCUGCAUUCCUGUUUUCAACUGUGGUCCUCAAGUGUACACAGCGUGCCCCUGCACUACUCUAUGGUCAGCGCUACAAAAGAUUACUUCGGCCACAAGCAUCAGCUGUUCCAGGAGCGACCACUACUGCUUCUACAUUGGCUCACCAGUGGCGUCCUGCUGGUAGACUGGACUUGUCUCCUCGCCCUGCAUUACUACUGGUUCUGCAUUCCCGUUUUCAACUGCGGUCCUCAAGCGUACACAGCGUGCCCCUGCACUACUCUAUGGUCAGCGCUACAAAAGAUUACUUCGGCCACAAGCAUCAGCUGUUCCAGGAGCGACCACUACUGCUUCUACAUUGGCUCGCCAGUGGCGUCCUGCUGGUAGACUGGACUUGUCUCCUCGCCCUGCAUUACUACUGGUUCUGCAUUCCCGUUUUCAACUGCGGUCCUCAAGCGUACCCAGCGUGCCCCUGCACUACUCUAUGGUCAGCGCUACAAAAGAUUACUUCGGCCACAAGCAUCAGCUGUUCCAGGAGCGACCACUACUGCUUCUACAUUGACUCGCCAGUGGCGUCCUGCUGGUAGACUGUACUUGUCUCCUCGCCCUGCAUUACUACUGGUUCUGCAUUCCAGUUUUCAACUGUGGUCCUCAAGUGUACACAGCGUGCCCCUGCACUAUUCUACGGUCAGCGCUACAAAAGAUUACUUCGGCCACAAGCAUCAGCUGUUCCAGGAGCGACCACUACUGCUUCUACAUUGGCUCGCCAGUGGCGUCCUGCUGGUAGACUGGACUUGUCUCCUCGCCCUGCAUUACUACUGGUUCUGCAUUCCUGUUUUCAACUGUGGUCCUCAAGUGUACACAGCGUGCCCCUGCACUACUCUAUGGUCAGCGCUACAAAAGAUUACUUCGGCCACAAGCAUCAGCUGUUCCAGGAGCGACCACUACUGCUUCUACAUUGGCUCACCAGUGGCGUCCUGCUGGUAGACUGGACUUGUCUCCUCGCCCUGCAUUACUACUGGUUCUGCAUUCCUGUUUUCAACUGUGGUCCUCAAGUGUACACAGCGUGCCCCUGCACUACUCUAUGGUCAGCGCUACAAAAGAUUACUUCGGCCACAAGCAUCAGCUGUUCCAGGAGCGACCACUACUGCUUCUACAUUGGCUCACCAGUGGCGUCCUGCUGGUAGACUGGACUUGUCUCCUCGCCCUGCAUUACUACUGGUUCUGCAUUCCCGUUUUCAACUGCGGUCCUCAAGCGUACACAGCGUGCCCCUGCACUACUCUAUGGUCAGCGCUACAAAAGAUUACUUCGGCCACAAGCAUCAGCUGUUCCAGGAGCGACCACUACUGCUUCUAUAUUGGCUCACCAGUGGCGUCCUGCUGGUAGACUGGAC